Molecule: long non-coding RNA, 305 nt
Organism: Hippocampus zosterae (dwarf seahorse)
Lineage: Eukaryota; Metazoa; Chordata; Actinopteri; Syngnathiformes; Syngnathidae
Exons: 2
Source: RefSeq, a predicted model, not a curated record
AGAUCGUUUGUUUCUAGUUCAGUUAACACACAUUGUGAUGUAAACCAAGGCGGUCUUUCUCCCGUGUUGUUGUUCUGCGUGAAAGACAGUUUAUCCAGAAUCUGUGUGAAAAGGCGCCAGCACAAAAUGGGGGGGACGAGGUAGCAUCAGAGGAGAAACAGCAACUGCGUGAAAGGGGAUAGGAGAAAGUUGGAACGGAAUUCAACAACAACAUUAGUUUGAUGUGAAUGUACCCAGAGAGUUCUAGGCGCAAAAAGUUUCUGUUGGUCAGCCACACAGUUCAAAAUAAAAUAUUUUAAUCACAA